This 257-nucleotide unclassified non-coding RNA is filed under the name soil metagenome. RNAcentral's name for it is "partial contains small subunit ribosomal RNA, internal transcribed spacer 1, and 5.8S ribosomal RNA". The record is from RNAcentral.
UUUCCGUAGGUGAACCUGCGGAAGGAUCAUUAAACGGUGAAUAUGGCAUCCAUUACCAAGGAAUGAACAUAUAAACCCACCUGUGUAUAAACUCCCGUUGCUUCCGUGGGGCGGUGACCGCCGCCGAAGGACAGCUUCGGCCGUCCGGAGGAGAGUCCCCGCGGGAGGUAUAACAUAAACUACUUGCAUCUUCAUGCUCUUAGUCUGUACAUAACCCAUAAACGUUAAAACUUUCAACAACGGAUCUCUUGGUUCUC